CAAACCAAAGCUGGCGACCGGCGCACGGGUGAGUAACACGUAUCCAACCUGCCUCAUACUCGGGGAUAGCCUUUCGAAAGAAAGAUUAAUAUCCGAUAGCAUAUAUUUCCCGCAUGGGUUUUAUAUUAAAGAAAUUCGGUAUGAGAUGGGGAUGCGUUCCAUUAGUUUGUUGGGGGGUAACGGCCCACCAAGACUACGAUGGAUAGGGGUCCUGAGAGGAAGGUCCCCCACAUUGGAACUGAGACACGGUCCAA
Molecule: ribosomal RNA, 254 nt
Filed under: uncultured bacterium
Lineage: Bacteria
Description: partial 16S ribosomal RNA
Rfam family: Bacterial small subunit ribosomal RNA
Source: RNAcentral